RNAcentral lists this ribosomal RNA (222 nucleotides) under uncultured bacterium. Its description in RNAcentral is "partial 16S ribosomal RNA". It matches the Rfam family "Bacterial small subunit ribosomal RNA", at positions 109 to 334 of the family's 1533-position model. The record is from RNAcentral.
AGUAAUGCCUGGGAAUCUAGCUUAUGGAGGGGGAUAACUACGGGAAACUGUAGCUAAUACCGCGUAGUAUCGAGAGAUGAAAGUGUGGGACCUUCGGGCCACAUGCCAUAGGAUGAGCCCAAGUGGGAUUAGGUAGUUGGUGAGGUAAAGGCUCACCAAGCCGACGAUCUCUAGCUGGUCUGAGAGGAUGACCAGCCACACUGGGACUGAGACACGGCCCAG